RNAcentral lists this transfer RNA (69 nucleotides) under Solenostomus cyanopterus (ghost pipefish). RNAcentral describes it as "tRNA-Glu". It matches the Rfam family "tRNA". Rfam says of the family: Transfer RNA (tRNA) molecules are approximately 80 nucleotides in length. Their secondary structure includes four short double-helical elements and three loops (D, anti-codon, and T loops). The record is from RNAcentral. Lineage: Eukaryota; Metazoa; Chordata; Actinopteri; Syngnathiformes; Solenostomidae.
GCUUUCAUAGAUGAAUAACAUCAGUGGUUUUUCAUAUCAUUAGUCUUGGUUAAAGUCCAUGUGGAAGUA